RNAcentral lists this long non-coding RNA (4142 nucleotides) under Bos grunniens (domestic yak). RNAcentral describes it as "lncRNA (ENSBGRG00000015095.1)". Lineage: Eukaryota; Metazoa; Chordata; Mammalia; Artiodactyla; Bovidae. The record is from RNAcentral.
AUGACUGAAAAGUACAGCUUGGAAGGGCACAUUUCAUCUCUUCUCCACCCAAAGAACCUUGUCCGGGCUCUUCUGUCUCUUUCCUUAGAACCAGUAAUGCAUUCUAUUUACACUGGGCCCUUACUGCCCAGUGCAAGCUGCGAGCUAAGUGACCCGUGUAAGGCACGACAGCUUGGAACGAAGCUGAAUUCUCAGAAGUCUCCAGGCUUGUGUGCUGCCCCACAGAGGAUCAUGAGUGUGGUGUGUGCAGUGGUUUUCAGCCAGUUCUCAAUUGCCAGAACCAUCCAAAAGGUCUUUUGUAACUCCAAUAAAACUAAAGGUUCCAUGUGGCUCUGGAUCUGUUUGGGGCUCAUAUAAAGAAACAUUGCUCAGCAAUUGAAAGUCUUUUAUCUUUUAUUUUUGGGCUGAUCUGGGUCUUCAUUGCUGAGCGAACUUAGUCGCCCUGAGGCAUGUGGAAUCUCCAUUCCCAGACCAGGGACUGAAGCAGCAUCUCCUGCAUUCUAAGGCGGAUUCUUCACCACUGGAUCACCAGGGAAGUCCUGAGAGUCAUUAAAAAAAAAAAAAAAAAAUCCAAUUAGUUCUUUAUAUCUCUUGAAGAGAUAUAAAUGCUUAGUAAAGUUUUUCUAAAGCCCCUUUUACUCCUCCCCAGUUCGCUCCCAUCCAUAGCUACUCAAGGGCCUUUUGCAUGUCAAAAGCUCCCAUGCCCUCUCCAGCACCCAAAUAUCUCCCCUCUUUCUGAGUUCUUUAUUAUGAAAGGUGUUAGUGUCUGGUCUUGUUCCUUGUCCUCCAGGUUCUCUUCCCACUCAUUGUCCCAGUUCUCCAUCUCAGAAGAUCUUUAUCAAAGUUGAGGCAGAACUCUCCUUAAAAUGCUCAUUAAAAUACUCUUUAAAAUACUCAUACAUUUCAAUAAGUCUGUCCCUCCCUGUCUCAUAAGCAUUGUCGGGGAAACAGAUUUACAGUCUCAUAUGUUAAUACACAUAGGUUAUUCUACUACUAUGUAUUUCAGAGAAACAGAACCCAUAGGAUUUAUAUAGAUAGAUAAACAGAUUAGAUACAGAUAUGGGUUUUAUUAUGGGAAUUGGCUUGCUUGGUUAUGGAAGCCAAGAAUUCACACAAUCUGCCAUCUGCAAGCUUAAAAACCAGGAAAACUAGCUGGUGGUAUAAUUCUGUUCAAGUCUCAAGGCCAGAGAAUCUGAGGAGGUACUGGAUGACUCCUGGAGUCCAAAGGCUCAAGAACCAGGAGUUACUAUGUCCAAGGGCAGGAGAAGGUGGACGUCCCAGCUCAAAAAGACACGGGGAAUUCGCCCUUCCUCCACUUUUUCACUUUUCAGUUGAACUGGGUGAUGCCCACCUACACUGGUGAAAGCAGAUCUUCUUUACUCAGUCUAUUGAUUCUAAAUGCUAAUCUCUUCUGGAAACAUCCUCACAGACACAUCCAGAAAUAAUGUUUUACUGGCUAUCUGGGCAUCCUUUAUCCCAAUCAAACUGACACAUAAAAUUAACCAUCACACAUUCCAUCUGUCUUUUGCUUUUUUUUGGACAGGCAUGCAGGCUCUUUAGUUGUAGCACAUGGACUUAGUUGCCCCACAGCAUGUGAGGUCCAGGAGGCUGACCUGUGGGGGUCUGUAUCAAGAGCAUCCCUUGCCCUCUGGUUCCUUGUUGGGCUUGGCCAGUGGGAGCCAUUGACAAGAGAUGGGAAGGCAGAGGUUGGGAUGUUUAUUCUGCCAGCUCCCCCAUUGCUGGAUUGAUGGUUGGCCCAGGCUCCAACCCUAGGCCCUCUCCCAACUACUCUCCUCCGGCAGGCUCUGGUCACUUCUCCCCACUUUCCCCUGCAGCCUGGAGGUGCUAGUGAGUUCCUGUUGUUGCCGGUCCCUGAGUGUCUUACCACCUUUCCUGGCUUCCUUACCCUUGUUGCUUCUCUGCAGCCUAUAAACAGCUCCUUCAUCCAGCUCUCCUCAUUGCCUGGAGUGACAGCACCUGGACGAUUCAGGGCCCCUGUCUUACAUAGCUUUAUCACCUCAUGGACUCUCAUCGCUAUGGACUGGAGAGGUGAAGGAGGAUUACACUCUUAUUUUAUGGAGGUUCUGGCAUGUAAAACUUUCAAUAGUGAUUCAGCCAGAUGUCAAGGUCUAACGUACCUUUGGUCUGGAACACCUAUUAAUACCAUUUUGGGCCAAGUUAAGGAUUUAGUCAGUGGCUAAAGAACAGUGUCUCUCUGAAAAGCUCAGUGACAAUGAAUACACCAGUUGUCACUACUGUGACCUAACUGAGGGACAACCCCAACCAGACAGGAAGCGCUAAAAUUCAGGGUGGGACUCUGCUGCACUGUGUAGCCAGUUUACCUUACUCUGACCACAAGACCAAAAAAGAUAGAGAAAUACCCAGUACAUGCCACCGGAAGACUGAGCCAGCAAUCAGCAUGAUCUGAGCUAUUCUGAAAAACUCCUCACUCCAAAAAAACCUACCCACAUCCCCCAUUUCCAUCCCAGGCCUGAUUAGAAUAAAAUCAUAUCUGCUCAUAUCUGAAAUUUCAUCAUUGAAGACUUACAACUUUGCCUUUAGGCCAAAUGGAAAUAUUGCCCUGAAAGGAGUCAUUUAGUUAUAUUUGAUGAAUAUUUCCAAAUUCUGUGCAAGGCACUGCUGAACGCUAUUGAAUGUUUUAAUCCUACCAGUCACCCUUGAGUAGGAAUAAGCCAAAUACCAGGAGAAGAAGGUGAAACUGCAGAGAGGUGGAGAGAAAUAUGCUAAAAAGAGAGGAAGUUGCCUUUAUUCAUACUGGGCUCUGGGAAGAGGCUCUGGAUUAGAAACAUAAAUAAGGGGUCUGCAGCACAUCAGUCAGUUCAGUUCAGUCGCUCAGUCGUGUCCAACUCUUUACGACCCCAUGAAUUGCAGCACGCCAGGCCUCCCGUCCUUCACCAUCUCCCUGAGCUUGCUCAAAGUCAUGUCCAUUGAGUCAGUGAUGUCAUCCAACCAUCUCGUCCUCUGUCGUCCCCUUCUCCUUCUGCCUUCAAUUUUUCCCAGUAUCAGGGUCUUUCUAAUGAAUCUAAUCAGGUGGCCAAGCUUCAGCUUCAGUCCUUCCAAUGCAUAUUCAGGAUAGAUUUCCUUUAGGAUUGACUGGUUUAUUUAUCUAUUGCUGUUGAAAAAAAAUUCCCAACACUUAGUAGCUUAAAACAAUGGACAUUAUCUCUUAUUUUUAAGAGAUAGAACUUGGAAUUUGGAGGGAGCUUAUCUGGACAAUUCUGGGAUCUCUCAUGAGGUUGCAGUCAAGAUAUUAUCAGGGGACUUCCCUGGUGGUCCAGUGGCUAAGACUCUGUGCUCCCAAUGCGGGGGCCUGGGUUCCAUCCGUGGUCAGGGAACCAGAUCUUGCAUGCUGCACCGAAGACUCAGUGCAGCCAAAUUAAUAAAUUAAUUAACUUUUAAAAAUAUAUAUUUUGUCUGGACUUUGAUCAUCUGAAAGCUUGACUGGAACUGGAGAAUCUGCUUCCACUAUGGUCCACAUGCAUGACUGGCAAACCAGAUGUGAUUGUUGGCAAAAGACCCAGUUUCGUUGUGUGAGCAGUUAGCAGACAAAUGGUGAAGUAACUGGAGAGGAAAGUAGAAGCAAAGAUUCUUUUUUUUUUUUUUUUUUUUAAUUUUUAAACUUUACAUAAUUGUAUUAGUUUUGCCAAAUAUCAAAAUGAAUCCAUACAGGUAUACAUGUGUUCCCCAUCCUGAACCCUCCUCCCUCCUCCCUCCCCAUACCAUCCCUCUGGGUCGUCCCAGUGCACCAGCCCCAAGCAUCCAGUAUUGUGCAUCGAACCUGGACUGGCAACUCGUUUCUUACAUGAUAUUUUACAUGUUUCAAUGCCAUUCUCCCAAAUCUUCCCACCCUCUCCCUCUCCCACAGAGUCCAUAAGACUGUUCUAUACAUCAGUGUCUCUUUUGCUGUCUCGUACACCGGGUUAUUGUUACCAUCUUUCUAAAUUCCAUAUAUAUGCGUUAGUAUACUGGGCCAAAGAACUAAAUAGACAUUUCUCCAAAGAAGACAUACAGAUGGCUAACAAACACAUGAAAAGAUGCUCAACAUCACUCAUUAUCAGAGAAAUGCAAAUCAAAACCACUAUGAGGUACCAUUUCACACCAGUCAGAAUGGCUUGAUCCAA